GUGGUCUUUGUUGACAAAGCACACGACAAGAUGAACAUAUCAGGAGGCCUGGACAAUACAUGAGAUUAAUUCUGAAUGGACAGAAAACUUAGUGCCUGAUCAGCUACGACAAACGCAGUCUAUCAACAGAAUUUCAUGUUUCCAACCAUAUAAAGCAUACAGCCAUACCCUGUAUGUCGGUUCUUCCAUCUCAAAAGCUCAACAAAGGAAAGCCAUUACAUCACACUACACAGUAAUCUGAUAGCUCGCACCCGAGAGAAGAAUUACAAGAGUUAAUUACACAAAGAAUAUUACUUAUUCUAUAUUUUGAAUACAAGCUGUAAACACUUACACCACCACCCUUUCAUUCCUGUAUGCUAAUACAACCACACCAAUGCAUCGUUAUAUACACAACAAACAAAACAAAACAAACUAUGAAACCCUUGCGGGUGGGCACACUUCAUGCAUAUAGGAGUAGCCAAAUUAUGCUGAGGGGCAUAGCAGGCUUGGUCUUGGGAUUUUAUGCAAACACAUUUCAAAGGCUAUUAAGAAGAGCCCUUUUGCAAGAUGGAUGCUGAGAAGUUUCAGGCCUUGACCCUGGUGAGGUCAGCUCUAUCACAGACAGCAGAAAAUUCCUCUCCUGAAAAGAUUGAAAAAUACAAAUGUGAGCAGCUUUAACAACAUAUUUGUUAUUUAAUUCAGGUACAACAAUAUUUGCAAAUAUGAAUUUCAGGCACAGGUCAUGGAAAACGAAAGCUUACACUAGCAGUGAAUUUGGGGGUAGGCAUGUCGUCUGCAUACGGUUGGAAUGUUGCAACUGUGUGAGCAGGGGACGUGAAUUCCGAAGAUGGAGGCUUACUAUCUUUUGCAACCACAGCAAAACUUGGGGAUGCAAAGUUUUCUACACCUGCUUUAUCUCGGAGAACUGUGUGAGCUGGGGAGGUGAAUUCAAUACAUUGGAGCCUGCUAUCUUCAGCAAUCUCAUUAAGAUUUUGUGGUGCUGGUGUUUCUCCACAGUCUUUACUCUCAAAAUUUGUCAAAACAGGAGAAGCAAACUCCAUACAUUGAAGUCUACUAUCUUCAUCAAGCUCACUCAAUUUUUCAGAUGCUAGUAUUUCUGCACCUGUUUGAGCCUCGAAAAUUUCAAUAUUUGUUCUCUGAUGUGGAUGAAAUAGAAUAUAGAUAAGUAAUGAUAGAUAGUGUAGGUUACCUGGGCAAGGUUCCAUACUUCCAGAAAGCACAUUUUGGCAAAUGCUAUUAUGUUCUUCGCAGUUACCUGCUGGACAAGUUUUCAUCACUUCAUCAGGGGCCAUGUCUGAUAUCACUUCCAUGACAGUUUGCGAAGAACCAAAACACUGCUCAUCAUGAACAUUAAUCUGUCGAUUCUGCUCCCUGUUAAUUGGAAUAACGAUGCAUAAACAUCUUAAGUAAUAUUAUGAAUGAAAGGAUGAGAAAAUAUCCAUCAUUUACCCUGAAUUUUCUUCAUCUUCCUCUUCACUCUCAUACGGGUCUAUGAUUAAAUCAUCAAUAUCUGUUAUAACAGGAGAUGUAGAUUCUACACGUUGAAGCAUGCUAUUGCUAUCUUCAGCAACCUGGUCCUUGCUCGAAUUUCCACAUGCUGGUAUUGCACCUGUUUUGUCAUCAAAAAAUUCAGAUAGCCUUUCUUUGAUGUAGAUAAUAAUCUACCUAAGUUGCAAUUGAUAGCAUAGGUUACCUGGGCAAGGUUCUGUACUUCCAGAAAGCACAUUUCUACAAAGACUAUUAUCCUCUUUGCAGUUAUCUACUGGGCAAUCUUUCAUCAUUUCCUCUGGGACCAUAUUUGAUGUUACUUCUAUGCUAGUUUGUGAAGAACCGUUACAGUGAUCAUUGUCCACAUCAGUUUGUCCAAUGUGCUCGCUUUGCAUAGGAAAUAAUGAUGGGUCAACAACUGAAGCGACAUAUUUGACCCAAAAAAUUAGCAUUUAUUCACAAAUUACCUUAACUUUUGUCCAUCUUCAUCUUUACUCUCAUAGGGGUCUACAAUUAAAUCAUCAAGCUCCUCUAGGAGUGAACCUAUUUCAGACCCACUAUUUUCUGGCACUUCAUUGUGCUCUUUUUUCAUUAAAUGAUCUUGCAGUUGCUGAAAAUGUAAGGGGUAAAAACAGUUACCUAUCAAUAAAGCAACAAGAGUUUUAAGCUGAGAACUUCGUAACAGGAAGUUGGUGCAGCCAUACAUACCUGCCAUGCUUCAUCCAUGCUUUGACUUGUAUUGUCACUUUUUAUUUUUGUUGCAAGGGAGCAAAGCAAAUCAGCUUGCUGCAAUAAAGUAGCAACUUUUGGGUCAUCCUUGUUCAGAAAAUUACCCUCCCGCUUGACACCUGAAAUUAUCAGCACAGAAAUGAUUCAAUCACUGACAUAAGACAUACAAGUAAAAUAAAAUGUUCAGGAACAAGAAUAGUGGACUCACAAUUUUGGGAUUUAACUGUAUUCACGUUAUCUUGGUUGUUCGAAGAAAUGGUAGCAAGAGGUUGCCUGGCAUCUUGUGUGCUCUUUUCUUGUUCAAAUAAUCUCAUAUUUGGUACCAGGUUCUCCUUUAAAUCAGAACUGGAAGACCUUGUAGCAGAAUCAAUAAAAAAGAAGGUCAAACAAUAUGUAGACAUUAAGAAGCUUAUCAUUUAGAAAAUGUAACAAGUUCAGCUUGUGUUUUAUAUACCUCAUCUGCUUAAUAUGUAGCAAGGAGGCAGCUCCGCCUGGUGUCAGGCAUCCUGUUUCUGUGAGAACCCUCUUUGCAUUUGUGUUGGAACAUGGCACACCAUUUUCUUGGUAUAGCUCCUCAUCCUUGGCCCUCCUUUUGCACAGAGUAGAAAAGCGAUUCUUCACUGCAUUGUCAGUUCUGUUGUAACCAAACCCCAAAAUAUAAGCCAUAAACCUUAGUUCACAAAUCCUCAUUUUUAUCCUUUUUUCACCUUGCAAAAAAUAGCAGUCCAAUAAGAAAAACACACCUUCCAGAGACAACUUUUGCAAUUUCAGUCCACUUGUUUCCAAGAACUUUUUGAGCCUGCAUAACAGUGACAAGCUGAUAAGAAUAUACAGUUGGACAGUUUAGAAGCUCUACAGCAAGAACAAACAAUUUUGAAGAUAACGGCAAAACAAACCGUAUAGGAGGUUUCCAAUUCCCAUGUGCCGCCACAAAAUUUACCAAAAUAAGUGCAGACAAUCUAAAGGAUUAGAACUGGUACAACACAAAUCAUAAUAUAGAGCACAAUCUCAAGAGACACCAUGAUCCUUUCUAGGCUCCCUAAUCUAUUAAAGAGCAUAUUGGUCAUGUGUCCUGGUAAAGCACAAGACAAACCUAUUAUUAAUCUGCAAUCAUGCAACAUAGGAUAGGCUCCAGCAGUCCAGCCUAUAUUUUUUUCUGAACUCCUGUCACAAUCAUUUGUGUUGAACUGUCAAAGGUCGCUAAAGAAGUAAAAACAGAGAAGCUUAGGGGGUGUUUGGGACUGCUCUGCUCCACGCUUUUUAGCCAAAUGGUUUCAGCUCUACACACUUUGUUCAAGGAAAAGGGGUGGAGUUGUGAGAGCACCUAAAGAGGUACUCCACAAACUCCAGUUUUUUGUGGAGCUGCUUCACGAUGGAGUUUGUGGAGCAGUUCCAAACACCCCCUUAGCAUCUAAUUCUAUGGAAAUUGGAAACCAUAAGCAUUUGAUGCAACAGUGUCUAGUUUCAAGCAAAUUCACUGCCUAGAUCUAGCAAUUAAGCUGCAGUUAGAAACGUCAAGAUCUCACCUCACACAAAAGCAUAUCCUCUUCCCUGGACCACCCACCUUUCUUGCACUCUGAGUUCAAAUAAUUGUACCAUCUGCAGCAGCAACCAAACAAAUAAAAUGGAAUCAAACAAACAUCCAGACAAAGUUAGGAAUGCAACAAUCCUAACCAAUGUUUCCUCUAUUAGAAGAAAGUGGUGCACACCUUCUCCUGCACUGUCUGGCCGUCUUGUCCUUGAAUUGUGCGGCUAUAAUGGUCCAGCUACCAAAAGGAAAGUAAAUCACAGUGAUUAAAAGUUUAAAACAAAGCAACUAGAAGGAGCGGUUUGAGUCUGCAGAGAAUACUGAAUACAUACUUAUCAGUGCCAUGAAGUGCGAUUUGAGCACGAAGCACGCCAUCCUCCUACAGGGAGAAAAGUGAAACCGUUAGAAAGAAUUCAAUCGUAGAGGAGAAACCGCAGACACAGCCCAAGGUAGCCUGAAGCCCUCAAGAGGAUCAGAGGAGAGCAAAUGUGCAAAAUUGAAAACGUGUUUUCACAAGUUGAUAGAAAGUUAAGUAGGAUUCAGACUGAACAUGCGUACUGGUAAUCAGGAACGGCAUAAUUUUUUGAAUUGAACAGUCAAAAUUAGGUACGGAAUCCAGUAACCAAAGAGAAAAUUCCUUUCUACACGGAUUAGCCCCAGCAAGCGAAAAAAGUCGCCUUCUCUCCUCAAGCAAAAAGAAGCGCAAUAAUUGCUACGUACCUGGGUCCAAUCCCAAACCCGAGGCACCAAAAAAUCAGGGAUAAAGGCACGCACGCAGAAUUGAGCAACUUGCGGAGCACAGUAGCACACAAACACGCCUGGCUAGACAGUAGUACUAGAAACGAACACAGGGCUUUGACGCACCUCGGCGCUCCAACUGACGAUGUGGCGGUCCUUCCUGGCGGCGGCGGCAGCGUCAGGUACGGCCGCGGCCGCGGCGGCGCCGGAGGAGGAGGAGCUCAGAUCGGGCCCGGUCGCCAUGGCUCGGGACACCGCAUGUUCCGCCUGCGGACCCCCCGCCGCGUGCGACGGUGACUGGCGAGCCCGGCCGGCCGGAGGGGGCGGCGGGCCGGGGCGAGGCUAGGGUUUGGUGUUUGGGCGCCAAUGGAGGAAUUUUUGAACUCGGGGUCCGGAGGGGCCGGAAGCAGCCAACGCAGGGGCGGAUGCGGGGGAGAACGCACGGCACGCGACGUGAUGGUUGGCAGAUUGGGUUGCCCGCCCGGCCUGGUGGGUGAGAACUGUGGACAGUGAGGAGGAAGUGAGGAGAGGAAUUUUUUGCAGUGGGGUGGGGUGGUGGGUUUUAAAAGGUGGCCGGUGGCGUGAAUGAGAGGGAAAGUACUGUUGGGAACUGAACUUCGACUGCUGCCACAAAACGGAACGGAACGGAACGGAACCGUGGGACUGCCUGGCGUUCUGGACUUUGGACUGCUGCAGAGUGCAGUGCGGAGUACAGGCUGGAUCAGUCAUCAGUCGUCACUCGAACACGUGACGCAAAGUACGAGUAGAGAAAAACUGCUCUGGAAACCUUAGAUCCUAUACAUUAGUGAUGAAAAUUUUUUUAGUGUCACAUCGGAUGUGUCGGAAGAAUGUGUUGAGGGGUUUUAGAAACUAAUAAAAAAACAAAUUACAUAGCUCGUCUGAAACUGCAAGACAAAUCUAUUAAGCAUAAUUAAUCUGUGAUUAGCACAUGUGGGUUACUGUACCACUUAAGGCUAAUCAUAGACUAACUAGGCUUAAAAGAUUCGUCUCGUGAUUUUUAACCAAACUGUGUAAUUAGUUUAUUUUUUAAUCUACAUUUAAUGUUCCAGACAUGUGUCUAAAAAAUUUUUGGGUGGGCAACUAAACAGAGCCUUAGAAUUUUAAAUCCUGGAGUAGUACCCUUCGGUCCAAAAACAAAACAAAAAAAGUUCUACCAUAUUAUCGACUCAGGUUAUUCAAAUUUGUUCUAAAGAGUAUCAAUAUUAAUGAAACUAUUUUUUUUGUAGAGGAGAACAUAAUUUUUAUUCCAGACUUUACUGAUAAGUUUGAGUUAUUCUUCAUUAGAUGCAAUUAUCACACAUUCACACUACACCUAUUUUGUGUUAUAAAAAUUGAUGUUUCCCAUAAACUUCAUUAAAUUUUAUAAACAUGACUAGAGAUAGAGCUAGAACCAUAUCCUUUUUCAUAUUAUGGAGGUAGUAGUGGUAUAGAUGCAAAUUCUAGUCGUCUCUACAUAAUAUAUUGUACGGUCAGAUCUCAACUCAAGUAGCUAGUAAGUUUUGUACUUCCUCAAGUCAAAAAAUAAAUUAGAUUAGCUUUGUAGUGAAAAACAACAUUUAUAAUACAAUAUAAGUAAAUUAUAAAAAUAUAUUUCAUGGUAUCUCUAGUGAUACUAAUUUGAUAUAAUAAAUAUUCAUGUUAUAUAUGUUCUAUAAUUUAAUCAAACUUAUAAUAGUUUAACUUAUAUAACAACUCAAUAAGUUGAUUUUAUUUAAAGAUGGAUGGAGUUUUGCCUUUGGGGAAUAGUCCUCCAAGAUGCACAUUCACGAUUCUCUUUGAUAUCUUUACCUAACGAUUUCUUAUUAGCUGGUAGCGAGCGUUCUUUCAUUAGGUGCAUAGUGGUAGUGGAGUCGUCCCAUGGUAUCUGGGGGUAGAUUAGUUGCUACUUGCUAGGGUUAACUCCUAAUCGAUAGAACUAGACUAUUAGACUAGAGGGAUCAACAAUUUGUGACAAACAAUUUGAGACGAGGGAUGUCAUCAUUUUUUAUGCUAUUUCUUUUACAUGUUGCGAUAGUGAAAAAAACAUGCAUUGACCUGCUAUAUAUUUGUAAGUUCAAAAGAGAGUAAUAUAAUGGUUGGUUAACUUAGUCAUGGCUCACGAAAGGUAAACGUUUUUUUAUGGGCUGCCAAAAUUACAUACUACCUACACGCAUGGGUUAUAUAUAUAUAUAUAUAUAUAUAUAUAUAUAUAUAUACUUUAAACCCGUGCUUUUGGCGGGCGUGUAUAUAGACGAAGCUACUUUGAGGCUGUCAUUUCUACUCAACCACAUGUGCCUACGGGUACUUAGGGCUUCACCAAUACAGGCUAAUACAAUACAUGCCUAGAUCAAAUUCACAUGCCACAUAGAUUAAACUUUUAAAACUCACAAUGCAGACUACAAGUCGCUUGGUCCACCGUCCAUAGGCCUAUUCCAGAAAAGUACAUUAUUGUUUAUUUCUCUCCCUAAUAGUUUUUUUUGUCUUCACUCAUUCUUUGACAUUCUCAUGGCGACACUAUUGUUGUCGUGUCCCUAACUCUCCUAACCAUGAAGCAAAACACCACCACUAAAAAUUUCGAGCAUUCAACUCAUUAGAUUGAUAAGGACUCUAUUUGCACUACUAGCUAGUAUGUGAAUCGUCCCUUAUCGAAUUAUUACUUUUGAGAUGUGAAUCGAUUUAAAAUUUGACCAAAGUCAUAUUAAAAAAGUACUAAUAUCUAUGAUAUAAAAUAAGUAUUAUUAGAAUAAUUUUGAGUUAUAUGUAUAUAGCAAACUUAGUAAAGAUAUAAUGUUAGUACUAUUCACUAUAAACUAUUUUGGCGGGCAUAAAUACUGUAGGAUUUUUUUUAUAGAGUUACCCUGUAACCUUCUUGCGUGCUUCUAAUUAUUCUUCACUCUUCACGGGUGGCGAGAGCGUGAGUGAACCGGAUGCCGGAUGGAGAAGGUGCCUACUAGCUUUUGUCCAUUUGAGUUUUCCCCCUAAUUUUCUCACGAUGAAUGGGAUUCAUGAAUUGCAUCAUGCAUGCUUCAUGCGAGCGGUGAGUUCGUGUGACUCAUAUUAUGGUCCACGCUCCUGCUAGGCUGCUAGUACUCAUCCUACGUUUGAACAACAGUUUGAAGGAUCGAUACUCUGAAGCCUGAAAGGCCAUGCCGCCUAGCAUAAGAAACUUGUGAAAAUGAUUCAUCGGUGCGCACAAAAUCGUAUACUGUACUCGCGAAUUGCCUUGCUUGAAAUUCAAAAUUCGAGUUUGGAGAGAGAGAGAGAGAGAGAGAGAGGCCUUCCGGUCCUUUUCCUACAUCGCGCCAGCCAGCUAGUUUGCAACUGUAUUCUAUUCUGUAUUCUUUUCUCUAAAAACAAAAGAUCGUCUCGUCCUAUCUCACUCAAACUGUCAAACAGAUGCUAAAUUUUAGAAAUCGUAACGGCGGACGAAGCAGGCAGUUAGCUGGGCUCUUUAAUUUGUUUACUUUUGGCGUCCUCGAUAGUUAAUUGCUGUCAUACUCUAAUGAAUAGAGACACAUGUAUAAAGUACUAAAUAUAGAUUAUUUAUAAAAUUAAAAACAUAGCUACAAAGUAAUUUACGGGUGAAAUUUUUAAACCUAAAUAAUCUAUAAUUAGAUAUUAAUUAUCAAAUAAAACAAAAUAGCUAUAAUACAUGUUAAACUCUAAACAUCCCCGAAGUGUUGUCAAACUAUGAUGGACCCGAGAGUAGUACUAGACUACUUGCUGUAGUAUGUAUAAGUGGCACGUUGACGUAAGAUGCCACACAACAAUCCGGCUGUCCAAUUGUCCAUGCACCUUUUAUGUCAUGGUUUGAAAAACAUGGUCCAUAAUUUGAGCGGGUAAAAUAGGAUUAGCAGUUUGAACCGAGCAGAGUAGGGUAACCUAACCAGCAUAGUUGUCAGUGAAAUUCAACGUUGUGAGUGAUUGCGACAUCGUAGCCAUUCAUUUCAGCUUCAAGAAGGCUCAUUUCAAAAGGUGCUGCAACGGCUAAUCCAGAAACUGAGGUCACCAAUCACUGUGUCACUGUCAGGCUUCAGUGACUUAUUACUAGUAGUUGCACUAAUGCGAAUGCAACCGACUCUUUUGAGCAACAAAACACUACAAGGUCAAAGGGCAGUUGCCACAAAUACCACAAUAACCAACAUUAAGAAGCAGCAUUUGUCAUUUCCGUUUCAUAACUUGAACGGAACAGCGAGUGCUGCAGAAACAUUGUCCAUCCAUAUAUUCUGUUCUGCCUGUUGAAAAAUUCAGGAAAAAAAAAAUGGAGAUGGGACCGCAACAGCAAAGUACCCCUGCUGGGUUUUAUAGGACAGUAGCAUCAUCCGCUUGGCAAAAAGCUAUAGCCAGAUGUCCGUCAGUGCGACUGCAAAGUGGCUUUGGAUAGGGCGGUAGCGGUAUCCUAUUCCCGUCCCACAAAUUGGGGCGCAUGUGCGCUUGCUGCUGCGUGCGUCUGCCACUGCCUGCCGUGCCAUGCCAUCUCUCUUUUGAACUCGACGCCCCUACCGGAGCCGGAGGAGAGGAGGACCGCCGACCGUGGACCGGUCUCAGCUCCGAACACCCAAGUCUGCACUGUAUCCGCUGCACCAGUGGGUCAGAUCGUGUCAGUGCCGAAAGUACCCAGCGAACCGUAUCCUAUGCAAAUCGGCGGCCACUGCAACCCCUACGGCCCACCUCGGUUUGUCCUGGAUCUGCCGGCCCGUUUGGGAUUUUUUGCAAGAACCGCGGUAAUGUUUGGUUGGGAUUAUAAAAUCCGGAUUUUAUUUUAGACAAAAAAUAAUAUCUGAUGUUUUUGGAUUUUGUGUCUGUGUAAAAAUCUUCUAAAAUCUUGUGAUAUUUAGAAGAGAUUCUAGGAGUCUAAGAUUUUUUUAUUAGGAUCCAUAAAAUCCCCGGGUAUCAAACGGGAUCCAAUUUCACACUAAAAUAUAGGAACAGGAUUUUCUUUUCCACAUCCUAGACAAAUCCUUACAGAUAAACUAUUUUCUUUACUAAUUACCGUAGGACCGGUCGUAUGAUCAAAUCGUUUGCUUUGAGGACAGAGAAACAGUGUUGUGCGCAACUUAGGCCUAAGCUAAAUCAAUUUUUUUGGCCACGACUUUUAAAUAUCCUAGCGCUUUUGUAGAUCCGAUCCGUAUAGUCAAGAUGCACAUACAAGCUCUUCUAGGCUCAAGACGUAUAGCGUUGGUAAAAUAACAGUACAGAUAGUGGCGGGGUACUUUUCAUUAAGAAAGACCGGAUAAUAUGAUAAUACUUCAUAAAUGCGAUAAAUAUGAAUGACAAGUGUAUGUCUCAAUAUCUUUUUAAAUGUUUUCACAAAAGUAUUUUGUAUUUAUAACACAAAUCACAAUAUUAACAUACAAAAUAGGUGAAAUGAUAUUUUUUUGUGCUACAUAAUUAAAAUUUUUAUAAUAUAUCAAAGAACUUUCACUGUUUUGGGGUGCCUCCCCUCCCCCGUUCCGCCACUAAGUACAGAGCGCUAGUCUCUCGAACGUCUAAGAACCUAACAAAAAGAGAUAAUUCUUUGUGUGGUACUAGAAAAGAUGGUAUAAAGAGUUCAUUUUAAUUUUAACUUCUAUAAAAGUUUUUACAAUUUUUUCACUCUAGUAGAAUGCUAAAUUUUUCCCAAUAUGUCGUUCCAUGUAUUUUAUUACUUAAAUGAUUCUUUCCGCACAUGCGUGACUUCCCACUUGUUGAGCGAUGGGAGAUGUCGGUUGGAUGGUGUCAACAACGACAACGGCAAUCAGAGAAGAAGAAGAAGAAUAUGCUAAGAUUAGUGUGGUGGCGGAGGCGGCAAUUCACUGGCGGAGCACGGGAGAGGGUCAGGAAGGGGCGCUCAUGCUAUAUUUAAAACAUAGGGUUUAGAUUAGGGUUGGUUGUGAUCGAAGACGACAGUGGAGACGUCAUGAACAUUGCUGGAGCCCCGCGAGAUGAGGAGGCGACGGGGGAGUGCAGGAGGAAGAAGAGGAUGUGUGCGGGUGGAAGGAUGAUGAGGUGUGCGGCCGGAGUUAUGUGCACCUGCACAUGCUGGGCGUAGCCCGUAGUAAAGUUCACAAAGAGGAGUGCCGCAUUUCAGGUUGUAUAUAAUACCCUUACCACCGAAUGGAGCAACAUCCCAGUGUUGGAGUAUGAGGUUGUUUAGUUUCAGGCUAGUGUUGACCACGCCACAACCACACUUGCCAUAGCCGCGGUGGCCAAAAGCUCCGCCACACUCUGCCACACACUAGAUGACAAACAUAAGGAGCAAAACGACUAGACAAAAAGUUGUGGCAGUCGAAAUAUAGACAAGAGCCAAACAAUAACUUUUUUACCGUGACAGCCACAGUUAGCGCGUGACGUGUUUGGGCUGGCAACCAACACGCCUAUAUCAGGUAUUGGCCGUUCUAGUUCUAACAGUUUUGUUCUCGAGAACACGGAGAAAACGUCUAGUAGCGAAGGCAGUCGGGUGGCAACGAACAGAAACCAUUGGGGAAUUAAUUGAGAUGCACUUGCAUGCUAGGCAACAAGGUUUUAUUAUUCCAACAAAUAACACGACGCUAUUAACAUGCGGGUGGCAUGAUGUGCUGGGGUAUUAACACGACGCUAGCGAGAUGUACGCUAACUGAAAGGGAAUUCAUUCGGACAAAGUCAUCAACAAGGCAAAGUCCAAAAAACGAAGCCAGAGCGCGCGCUAAGCUCCUCCCCGCGCUCACGCGUCCACGACCUCAUCGUCCUUGGACGCAAUCACGAACUCCUGACGCAACGCCGGCGACACCACCUUGAUGGUCCCGUCCACGGCGUUGGGCCUCCCCAGCGCCUUCAGCGCCAGGUGCGCCGCCUUCUGCCCGGAGAUCAUCAUGGCGCCGAACGUCGGGCCCUGCAACAAAAAGAUUAUCAGUUCCUCGAUCGUUCAGCGAGUGGUUCUAACACGCAAUUAAUGCGCCCCAAGAGCCCAAGAGUAUUAAUUAAUUCCUCUCACCAUCCUCGGGGCGCCGUCAAUCUCGGCGACCUCCAUGCCGGUGACGAUCAUGCCUGGCACGACCUCGCGCGUGAGGCGCACGAUCUCGUCCUCGGCGGUGUUCAUGUCGAGUGCCUUCAUCCCGGGCACGUCGCUGAUCAUGCCGAUGUCCUGCAGCCUCUUGACGCCGGUGGCCCCGAACGGCCCGUCGUGGCCGCAGGAGCUGACCACCACCUUGGCCUCCAUCACGUUUGGGUCCAUGCACGACUGCGUGUCGUGGUUCAUGGACACGAGCGCCCAGUUGGUGACGACGCCGCCGACGCGCCCUCCCUUGACGAUCAGGUCCUCCACGGCGACGGCGUUGAACAGCUUCACGUUGGGGCGCGCCAGGAGGCGGCUCAUGACGGUGGACGUGAAGAGCGCGGCGUGCUUGAUGACCACGUAGUCCUCGGCCUCGUCGUAGGCGACGCCCAGCUCGUCAAGGAACAGGUGCGCCGGCUUGCGCACCACCAUGGCCGAGAACAGCUGCCCGCCCAGCCACGCGCCGCCGCCCGGUGACACCGACUGCUCCACGAUGGCGAUGCUCACGGACGGGUCCUUGGAGAGCUCGUACGCGCAGGAGAGCCCCGCGGAGCCGGCGCCCACGAUGACCACGUCCGUGUCGGCGUAGGUGAUCAUGUCCGUCAUGUACCGCCGGGUCAUCUCGCGGGAGACGACCGACUCCUUGAUGGGGCUGAACCGGAAGGACGUCAGGUCGUAGGGCGGGUUCGAGGAGGAGAUGGACGACGCGCGGAUCGCCCCGGCGCCGCGCGGGGUGGCCACGACGGCGGGCGACGACGGCGUGCGCGUGGACGCCGGGAGCCUGGCGCCCGCGAAGGAGGACUUGAGGAGGCUGGACGCGGUGGUGGCCAUGGCUGAAAGUUUCUUCUGCCUGCAGGGUAUGGAAGGGGAAAUGAGAGUGGCUGGCUGCAGUGGCACUAACGGCAAGGGUUUAAGAAGGGGAACACGGAGGCUGGCACGAACAAAAUAUCUUGGCUAACCGCCGUGCAUGGCUACGUGCUACCAGAUGGGGCGUGGUUGGUCACGGGCACCGGAUCGUUGGCAGCAGUGUAGCACCCACCGUCCACCGAGACAUCAGCUGGUUCCGGCAGAUAUUUUGGAGGGCGGGUUGAUAUUUUGGCUACCAGAAAGGGAAAGGAAGGACACGGCCGUCGGGGCCUUCUUGUUCGUCCGUGCCAGAGCUCUCGCUCUCUUCCUUGUUUUCUUGUUCACCGUUGGACUCGUCAACUCGUCAUCACCUGGGCCAGUGUGCUAGCAGCCCGUGCACACCAGCCCGUAUCGAGCGCCAGGGAGAGGUUGUGGUUCUUGUGGAGCGCGGCGACGACGACAUGAUUGGCCGGUCCCGCGGCCGCCGCCGGCGCGCGGCCAAUGCAGCGGAGGCAGAGCAGUAGAGCACCGUUCACGGGGGAUUCGCACGUGGGUCCCCUGUGCAUACAUACAGAGAGAAAAGGAGCGACAGUUUUGGACCUUUGGGUGGGCAAUCACAUCGAAACGGUGCUAGGACUUGUUUAGUUCCAUCAAAGUUCAAAAACUUUUCAAGAUAAAAGAAUCUAUAAUUUACAAAGACGAAUUUUUUUAAGUCUAAUUAGUUCAUGGUUGGACAAUAAUUAUCAAAUACAAAUGAAAGUGCUAUAGUCUCUAAAUCAAAAAGCUUUUAGAUCUAAACAAGGCCUGAAUCUAGGGAUGAAAACAGAUCGGAUAUAGCCUGAAUCCCGGUAUCAUAUUUGUUUUUAUAUUUCUGGUUGGAUUCGGAUUCGAAUACAGAUAAUGUCAAUCUUGUCGGAUAAAAUAUGAUUGUAUGCCGAUAUCAUAAAUAUACGAUUUAAGUAUUCGGAUAUGGAUACAGUAUCACAUGUUGAAUAUUCGGACUCGAAUAGGACAGAUAUAAACCUCUCUAAACGAAUUUAAUCUCAAAUACGGUCGAAAAAUAUCAAUACUAUUUUCAUUCUGAAUCACAAGUACUCAAGGUGGAUUUUUGGAAUUAAAUUGUUGACUCAAUAAUUCUCUCACAUGGAUCGCUGGAUAAAUCAAUGGUUAUGAGGUCAUAUCUGUACAGGAAAUUGAUUUUUGUUGAUUGCAUGAUUUUUUUCUUACCAAUCUCAUAAUGGAUUCAUCAAAUCUAGAACCAUAUAAGAUUGUGAUGUCUGGUCUUGAGAGUACUUGCACAUGUCUGAAGUUACAAAGCGCCGCGGCACGUAAACUUCUUCUUUUGGCUCACUCUGCAUCGUCACUUGUGGACGACUGAGCAGAGGAAGCGCCACGGGCUACAAGAUGAUGACUCAUGUGUGCUAUGCAGCGAGGAGCUCAAAGCCACCGAUCAUCUCUUGUUGGGGUGUGCAGUCACUAAGUAACUUUGGUUCGCCCUGCUUUCUGCUCUUGGUUUUGACACGCUCGCACCGGCUCAAGAGAACACGCUCGUCGAUUGGUGCCUGCGCUGCAAGAGGAUGUUGACAACUGACUCUAGGCCGAGCUUCGACGCCAUCAUGCUCCUGGUCACCUGGUCUGUUUGGAAGGAACGCAACAACAGAACGUUCAACAGAGCUUCAGGGAGUCUCCAGUCCAUGGUGUUGGCAGUUCUCCGUGAGGCGGAGGAUUGGAUUGCGGUCGGAUUUCUUCCUAUUUGCGACGCUUAUGUCAUUUGGUCGCACUUUCAUUUUUGUGGUGUAAUAACAGCCUCAUUAGAAUCCAGUAGCUAGGUGUGUCUUCGUUCGUUGCCAGCGUCGGGAAUGUGUGUGGUUGCUCGCCAUUAACAACCCAACACCUGUUGUCUUGUCAAAUUCUAUUUCCUCUUAAUGAAAUACGAGUACUAACCCGGUCAAGAAAAAAAAGUUGAGCAUGAUCUAAUGAUUCAAGUUAUGCAGCAUAAAGGGUUCCCUACUAGAUGGCUUGAUUGGAUGAACGGAAUUAUGCUUCGGGUUCUAUUCUAAUCUGUUUUCCUCUCAGAAGGUUUGCUCAAGUGUUCCUUGUCCUCGUUUGGCCGUGCCCGCCACCAAAUGUCAUCUGGUAGUUGGCCUGUGGGUCGGGCUACAAGAUGAGAACCAAACACAUCCUACAUCAGGCCUGGUUAGAAUGGGCCAGGGAACCAAACAAGAUAGGGUGGCCCGUCUUUACGUAAGCUUUGGUUGGCCACGUCCAGGAUGCUGGCCCGCGCUGGCCACAGCCACCCUUCACAACGCGACCAAAGAGAAGAGAAGCGAUGCAUCCAAGCCGAUGCCGUAAAGAUACAAAGGUGGAGAGAGAAUCGAGGCCAGUACCAUCCGUGCGUGUGUGGCUCGGCCCAUUAACAUGCGGUGCUGAUGAGGUGGAGAAUUAAAAGACAAAUAAAUAAAGAGAAAUAAAGAAGAAAACCCUUUCAACCAUAAUGCCAGUCUCAAUGCAUAGUUUCGUAACACAGUUACUAAGACUAUAAACAAGGUAACUGAGCCAUAUGAGUUUCAUGAGGAUAAAACUACUAUCUCAUCUUAUGAAACUCCUUCAUUUAAUGACCCUGUCAAGUCAGCAAUUUUAUUUAUAUGUUACUCUAUUUAAUAUACAUGACACUUUUAUGAAACAUGCAUUGAGACUGACCUAAGGAGAAGGUGUUUACCACAUCGCAAAAAAAACAGAGAGAACGUGCUUACCAAACGUAAUUUUUUUUAACUAAUGAAGUUGGAGCCAAAUGACGACCAAAGUGUUGUGAUCCGAGGUGAUGGUGGGGGUUUGUGCCCGGCCGCUACAUCCGCCUCUGACUGGUACAGUAGCUGAGGCACUUGAACAACUCGUACCGAUGCUCGUCGGUUUAUUUCUAUGGCUUUUCCAUACUUGGUGAUGCUGGUGCCAUCCAUCCACAAGUGACCAUCUGCAUCCAUUGUUGGCCCGUAAAUCUGUGACCUUCUUGAUGACACGAACGAACUGGUGACUGGACCCUCGCUGAGGUAGUUUUGGAACACAAUCGCUGGCCUAGAUUCCAUCCACAGCGGUGUUGUUGACCGUGUGCUACCUUCGAUCCUUGUUGCCUCUGUUCUUGUUGGCUCUGUGCUGCCUUCUGCGGAUACUGACACCGAAUCUCCCGUAGUCGACGCAGCUGGCGGGAACAAAUUAACCUAUAAUAUUGUUAAAAAAGAUUAACAUAUAACAAUUUGAUAACACAGAAUACUGAAUUGUUUUUUUCAGAGUAGUACACACAUUGUGAGAGGGGGGCAAGCAAAUUAAACAAAAGAGCACGAUCGAGUACCUACCUUGAUACUGCUCGGAUGGAUGAAAAUAGUGGGGAGCGCUAGGUGGGGAGGCGGAACUGCGCUAUACACCCCGUGUGAUGCCUCCUCCUGCCUCGAGAAAGCGAUCGGGACGGUCGCUUCGUCCCUGAAGACGAUCACCGCCAUGCCCAGGUGUCGGCACAAGGCGAUCGCCUCGAUGGCGCCGAACCGCGCCAGAUCGGCGCGCAGGUCGUCGUCGCCAUUGUCGGGGAAGAACAAGUCGAGACGCUGGGCGAGGAUGCUGCGGCUAUGGAAACUGGCCGGGUCCCCGGAGAGUUGGCUCCCUGCGGCUGCGGCUGCGGGGGCCAGGAGGUCGCGCGCCAGGGUCGCCCUCUCCACGACGUGACCGUACAUGCGCCGUAGGUUUUCUAGGGUCACCAUGUUUGUUUCUUGGAUGGAUCUCUGCUGGGUGCCCUUACUCUUGGGUCUGCGACUCUGCGUGUUACGCGCGUGCAUGCGUGUAUAUAUACACAAGUACUACUAGUAUAUGCGGAGGGCAUAGGCAUCGGAUCGGACACGGAAACAGACUCCGAACCAGAGAGAACCUCGCAUGCUAACGGACUACAUACGGUGGGUGUAACAAGAUAUAGUUUAUAUUUCAAUAGCAAAACAUUUAAAACAUCAAUAAGAGUGUGGAUAAGUAUUUCAACAUGUACAAAUAUUUAAAUCAAUUAAUAAAUUUGAAUAUAUAAAAAUAAUGCAUAACGAAUAUGUAAAUAUAGUAAAGUACUUAAAAUUAGUAUGACUAUACAUAUUAAAGUUAACCAAACUUGUCCUUUAUAUAUCAUAAACUAUGAUGUUAUUUUUAAUAGUUUUGCAUUAUCAUAAAUAUAGGUUUGAAAAUUAUCAAAAAAAAAAACUUAACAUUUAUGAUUAGUCAUAUUAGCAAUAUAGUUAACUUUUAAAAAGGUUUAAAUGAGUUAUAUUAAAAAAUAUCAUUUACACUGUUAAUUAGUCAUAAAUAUAAGGUUCACACGGUACAUUGUUCUUCAUGGUAUAGAUAACAUUGGAUAUUUUACAUUUUUCAAAUAUGGAUGUGGAACUAGAUAGAGAAGAAUCAUGAAAAACAUAUAUUUGAAUAUAUCCAUCUAGUAUCCAUAUUGAAAUCGGAUACAAAUACAGAUAACCAUAUCAACAUUCAGACUGAUAUGUAUAUAAGAUCUUUUGGACAUUUAGACAUCCAAAUCCAUCCCUAAAGUUGUCUUAGAAAAUCCAAGAUGCUACAUAAAGAUUCUAAAAUCCAUGAUUUAGUCAUUCUUCUAAAAUAAAACAUCCUAAAAAACCAUAGUACUACAACAAUCUUUAUAAAUUUCCUAGUUUCAAAAUUUAAAACAAGCCCGACGCACCCAUGGCGCUUGGCGCAUAGUCUAGCGCCUACGGUAAAGUUUAUUUUGCCCUUAGACCAGUCUCAAUGCAUGUUUCAUAAGAGUGUCAUGCACAUUAAAUAGGAUGCCACAUAAGCAAAAUUACUGACUUGGCACGGUCAUUAAAUGAAGAAGUUUCAUCAGAUGAGAAGAGUUUCAUCCGCAUAAAACUCAUAUGGCUCGAUUACCUAGUUUGUAGUUUUGGUAACUGUGCCAUGAAACUAUGCAUUGAGACUGGCCUUACGGACAUGUGCCCUCACUCUCCCACCCAUUGAAUUCGCUUUGAGAAGUGUGCAAACGCACAUCUCAAUGCGAAACUGUUUUAAGAUGUGUGUUUGCACACUUCUCAAAGCAAAUUUAAUGGAUGAGAGAGUGAGGACAUGUACCCUUAGGCUCAAUACAUAGUUUCAUGGUACAGUUACCAAGACUAUAAACUAGGUAACCGUACCACAGAAGUUUUAUGGGGAUGAAACUCCUCUCUCAUCUGAUGAAACUCCUUUAUUUAAUGACUCUGUCAAGUCAGCAAUUUUGUUUAUGUGGCACCCUAUUUAAUGUGCAUGACACUCCCAUAAAACAUGCAUUGAGAAAAAAAAACCGCCUUCAUACAUCUACAAGCUCUUCAAUGCGACCAACGUCCCGGACCCGUGUAUGAAGUGAACUAGGACUAUAAAUUCUAGCAAACGAAAUCGAACAGAAGAAUUUUCUCUAUAUUCUAGCAAAGGCAUACAAGGGAAACUACAAUAUCUUGUCAGGGACAGAAAAGGCAGCUCAAGUGUAAUAUACGGUACGGCAGUACGCACGAGAUCAUUUAUCAUACACGUGUACGAAAACUACAAAAGGAAAAGAUGGCUGAGCUUCAGUUCACUGCAGCAACUGGGCCAUGACAUCUUGAGCGAUGACCCCAGCGUGGUGAGCAUCAGGCACUCGACUACACUCCACGAACCCAAGACCUGCCCAGGUAUUCUGAGGCUCCCUUAAUAGCCUGGCUGCACUGUGCCAACAUCUGAAGACAGCCAACGCCAAUCCACUCUUGUCUAGUGCCACAUUGUAUAGGUCACCAAACACAGAAAGUCUAACUGAGAGAUCAAAACAUGAAGUGCCCUCAACAACACCUGAUAGAAGCAAGGAUCUCUCCGGAAAGUCACCUCUGAGAACAGAAUCAGGGGAUACCAGAGUGCAAGACCUGAUAAGACAGUGGAGGAUCCCAAUAGUGUCACCAUCGCCAAGUCUCGCCUCUUGAUCAGACAUCCAGUCUCUCACGCGUUGAAACGCUACAGUGUCCAUCCAGUACCUCGCCUCCAUCCUGUCGGACUGCUGCUCAGGAGAGAUAUCAGAAGAUGCUGACUCAAAUCCAAAGACACUUGCGAAGCUAGGUUUCUGUCCAAAGAAACGUAUCCAUGCAUGUCUCCUCAGGUGUUUGUAGCAAAUACAUUGUGUCCUCUGAGCUUCCAAGCACCACAACAAUGAGUCCCUCUGACCGGUGGAUUAUCACGGCCUCAACUGUGUGAACAAGAUCGGUUUCAAACCGCAGGAAGUGUGCAAGGUCUGCUGCAUCGAGCUUCUGCGUAUCCAGCCCAGUGAACAGGAGCACGCGGCGCCUGUAACUCUCGUCGUCGUCUAUGACACACUGUGGCAGGAGCCGCCGGAGCAAGGUGGCAUCUCGGUCAGCAGGAUCAGCAAGUAAUGGAAAGAGUGACGAAUCAAACAGCUGAAGUCCCCUCUUUUUCAGCAAAUGAGGUGCCCUCCGGGCCACCAGCUCCGUGCUCUCGGUGUCAUCGUACACCAGGACGCCGGCUUGUCGAUCCCUGUGGACGAUUGCGGCAACCACAUACCCCCGAGCAAAAAGCACCUUCCAUGCCAAGUCACAUAAUCCAUAGGCUCCUUCGCUGAUCGGGGAUCUGCCAGCUCCAAUAAGAACGCAUCUCAGGUGGAACUCCCCAUCUUCAUCAGCAAGAAUGUACUGGGACGGUAGAAGCGACCGGAGCAUUCUGGCUGUGCAUCUCCUCACGAACUCGUCGGCAACACCGUCGAGGAUGUAUGAGCGUGAGACCUCCUCGUCGUGCCAGGUAGCCUAUUCAGUGAGAGUCAGAGACAAUAUUUCAGUUUGAAUGGAUUGUGCAUUAGACAGUAUUUCAGUUUUCGAAUGGAUUAAGCAUCAGCAUUACUGUGACGUUCAGAAUUGAUAGACAGACACACAAAAGGGUCACGGGAAGAUGACAGUGAGGACUCACCGGAGUGCAGGUGGCAUAGAGACCUUCGCGUGGUGUCUGAAUCGUAGCUGCAGCACUGUCAAUAGCAUCAAAGAAGACUAGAAGCCCAAUCCUGAAGCCAGUCUGGCUGUCCCGUACUAAAACUGCCGUCUGCACACCCAGUAUGCUCUGAAUCAAGUCGCACGGACUGACACUGGCUGGAACGCCGUCAAGCAGUAGACAUCUCUCAAGAAAGUGGGGGUCCUCCAGUACUUGUGGUGCCACGGUAUUCAUCAGGACUGCGAUCAAAUCCCUCAUGUAGCUGAAAGCCCGACCUUUCCUCUGCAAUGCAAUCGCGCGAACAAACGUCAGUAGAGCAAAACUGAAUGAACGAAACUGCAGUGACGGUCGUUCGACCGGCUAAAAGAAAGUAAUUCACGGAGCAAGAACAACACUGCAACAGCAGUUUGCAGGGCAAGAAGCCAAGAACACGGGGAGAAAAGAUAGCAAACAGCAAUUCGCCGCGAAUUCAUGUUCCAUUCAGUUUUGGAAUGAAUUAAACAUCAGCAUUACUGUGGCUAGUUUUGAAUGGAUUGUGCAUUAGACAGUAGUAUUUCAGUUUUGGAAUGGAUUAAGCAUCAGCAUUAUUGUGACUUUCAGAAUUGAUAGACAGACACACAAAAGGGUCACGGGAAGAGGACAGCGAGGACUCACAGGAGUGCAGGUGGCAUAGAGACCUUCGCGUGGUGUCUGAAUCGUAACUGCAGCACUGUCAAUAGCAUCAAUGAAGAUGAGAAGCCCAAUCCUGAAGCCAGUCUGGCUGUCCCGUACUAAAACUGCCAUCUGCACACCCAGUAUGCUCUGAAUCAAGUCGCACGGACUGACACUGGCUGGAACGCCGUCAAGCAGUAGACAUCUCUCAAGAAAGUGGGGGUCCUCCAGUACUUGUGGUGCCACGGUAUUCAGGACUGCGAUCAAAUCCCUCGUGGAGCUGAAAGCCCGACCUUUCCUCUGCAAUGCAAUCGCGCGAACAAACGUCAGUAGAGCAAAACUGAAUGAACGAAACUGCAAUGACGGUCGUCCGACCGGCUAAAAGAAAGUAAUUCACGGAGCAAGAACAACACUGCAACUAUCUGCUUAAUGAAAUACACGUCUUUGGCGUGCUCUAAAAAAAAUAAAAAUAAAAAGAACAACACUGCAACAGCAGUUUGCAGGGCAAGAAGCCAAGAACACGAGGAGAAAAGAUAGCAAACAGCAAUUCGCCGCGAAAUCAUGUUCCUUUCUUUCUCACCUAGCAGGGGCAAGAACAACACCGGGAACCAACAGCAAUUCGCGGCAAAUUCUCUCCCUAUCUUUCUCGUCGAGGAGAGGCAGAAGAACGAAAGCCAACAGCGACUCGCGAGCAGUUCACCGCGAAUUCACCUCCCUUUCUUUUUUUUCGCCGAACAGGGGCAAAAACCGAGGAGCAAGGCAGAAUGGAACGAACAACAAUUCGUGACCAAUUCCUCCCUUUCUCUGACGAACGAACAACCGUAAGGCAACAGCGAUUCGCGUGCCAAGAACACGACGUGCAAAGCAGAAUGGAACGAAGACCAGUUUACCGCGAAUUCAUCACCUCCCUUCUUUCUCACCGAGCAUGUGUAAGGACAACACCGGAAGGCAACAGAAAUUCGCGAGUCAAGAACACGACGGGCAAAACACAAUGAACAAACAGCAAUCCACGCGAAUCCUUUGCCCUUUCCUUCUUGGCGAGGAGGGCAAGAAUAACCGGAAGGCAACAGCGAUUCGCGAGGCAAGAACACGACGCGCAAAACAGAAUGGAACGAACAUCAGUUCACCGCGAAUUGACCUUCCUUCUUUCUCACCGAGAAGGUGCACAAACAACACCGGAAGCCAACAGCAAUUGCGGGUCAAGAACAUGACGGUCUGAUACAGAAUGAAGAAACAACAAUUCAUGAACUCCCCUCUCUUUCUUGCUUCGCGAGCAGGGCAAGAACAACAGGACGCCAACCGCAAUUUGCGAGGCAAGAACACGACGGGCACAAAUUCGACGCGAAAUCGCGAAUUCCUCUCCCACCGGGCAAGAACACGGCGGCCAAAAGAGCAAUGAACACGAUUACACGACCGGCAAGGAAACAACAGGAGAAAAGAAGAGCAAGAACGGCAAACAAGAAGACCGGAGGUAGGGGAAAGCACCUGUCUGGAAUGCCACAGGCCAGAGAGUAUGACGGGACGCGCACGCGCCGAAAUGGCACCGGCCGGAGGUGGGCGAGCCAUCUUCACCGGAGAAGAGAGCUUCGGGUCGCUGGAGAGGAAGAAGGCUUCGGAGGGUUUCUUCGGGUUUUCCCGUGAGGUUUGAGAGGUCGUGAGAGAGGGAAAAACAGGGGUUGGCGUUCUGUCUGGGCUCCGGCUUUUGUUUGCCAAACCGUCUUUCCCUGGAGAGAGGCCGAGGUGGCCUGAACGGAGACGAUGGAAGGGCCUAGAAAGCAGCCCGAGGUAUUCAUGUUCUGAUGUUCAUGGGCCCAAUUUGGUAUGGUUCCUGCCCUGAUGUGACUGGAAUGUGGUUUUUUUUUAAAGAUUAAGCGAUGGAAUGGUUUUCUUUGGUUAGUGGCCUGAAGACCGCAAGAGGCAUCCUGAUGUUGAAUGGCUUGUGUACCAUCAGGCUUCAGUGACUUGAAGACCGAAACAGAGGCAUUCAGUAUGAACAAUUGUGCUUAAUGUAAGCAAUUGCUGUAGUUUCGUAUGCAUUACUGUCCAGAAACUGGAACUGUAUAGGCCCGUCAACCAGCCGCUGUAUGGACUGGUUCCGCUUUUAUCUUUCCUUUGCACAAAAUUCAGUAAAAUGCAAUUGGGGGUGCUGCCAUGUACUUGUGCAAUUGGGGGUUCAGCUCAGCAGUUCAGAUUCCAAACCCAACAUACGGCUGGUUGUUUCGAUUCUGACGACUUGAUACAGGUGCUUUGUAAUUCUUGUGCGCGCGUCAGAACGAGGAAUAGCGGGCAUCUCGCCUUGUUGUUAUUGUCCGCAAAUCGUCGUGCUCCCCUCCCCUAAGCGCAUACAGCCGCAAGGCAAGAGGCAUCCAUCCUCGGAGAAGGCCAGAGCAACAUGCCGGCUGCCCUGAUGGGGCUGACGAUGGUCAGGCCACUGAUACAGUCCACUGAGUCCAGCAGCAAGGCAGUUUUGGCGGUGGCACCCGACUCGACGGCAGGCGGCACGGUGGCGGUUGAGGUGGAGCACGUGCACAGGACACUUGGCCGUCCACCGAGCUGAGCUCAUGCAUAGAUAGGCUCGUAAAGCUCGGGAUCUAGCAGGAUGUCGCCGGUGAAGGGGUUGAACAGCAGGGGCCCCGCGGCGCGUGUGGGUGUCGCCCACGACGAGGGCGAGCCACCCAUCUCGCGAGGCGCCGACGCACUGGUGACCUGUGGCGCCUGAUCCUAGUUGAACGGAGUGCAGACCGCCGUGAGGGAGCCUGGCUAGCGCCACCGCCCGCCGCGCAUGGAGGGAGCAGAGCAGGCUCGUCGCGCGGGAGGACAGCGCGGAGCGCCACGCGCCUCUGACGGAACGCGCGGGCGUGGCGGAGCGAGUUGAGAUAUUCCAUUCAGCCUCUGCCGACGCGGCGGCGCUUGCAUCGCCGUCGAGCGUCGAGGACGGAGAAGAGAUUUGGGACCGGUUUGCCGUCGUUUACUUGGGCCUUGUUUAGUUCCGAAAAAAUUUCGGAUUUCUGUAGCACUUUCGUUUGUUUGUGACAAAUAUUAUCUAAUUAUGGACUAACUAGGAUCAAAAGUUUCGUCUCGCGAUUUACAGUUAAACUGUGUAAUUAGUUUUUGCUUUCGUCUAUAUUUAAUACUUUAUGCAUUUGCCGCAAGAUUCGAUGUGACAGAGAAUCUUGAAAACUUUUUGCUUUUUGGAGUGAACAAAACAAGGCCUUGGUAGUUGGUUCUAAACCGUUUUGAGGCCAUCAGGCCAACCCGUUUCAAAGACCUGAGCGGAUUGGGUUCAUUAGCUGGUUUCAGCCCAACCCGUGAACAGGCCUACUUAGAGGAGCAGUACACUGUACACAGAGAACAUUUUCUGAUGCUCUACAUGGCCAUCCAAUCAGCAUAGUCGUCUAAUAUAGCGUUUGGUCUCGUAAUUUUGAGAUGUUACCCAUUCACAGAGUAAUCUGAGUAUUGUUUGGCUCACUUGGGCACAACAUGCAAACUGAUUAUCUACGAUCUGGCGUAGAACCAAACAAAAUGCAAAACUUGUUAUCCUGUAAUCAUCACCCCAAGCAUCUCAUAUACUCAAUCCAUCCUAAAUUAUAAGAAGUUUAACUUUUAUCACCAAGUUUAAUCACCUGUCUUAUUCAAAAAUGUGUGCAAAAUAUCAUUUCUUUUGUCAUGUCUUGGGAUAAAAAAGUCAAACAUCUUAUAAUUUGAGACGGAUGGAGUACCAUUUAUGUCUACAGUAUCAUUUAUGAACCGAACAGCACCUGAGAACGAAAAAUUGGAAUACCAAUUUGGACAUUCAGUUUGAAACAUAGGAUGCCAAACGAGCAACAGCCACAGAAACUAGAAUACACAAUUCAUGGUGUCCAGAUACGAUGCCAAUGCUUGAAAUUAAGAGUGUCAGUAGUGCGGUGCAAAAAUGUCUACCAUCGUAGGAUUUCUGAAUUCAAGACCACAAAAAUUUAGCCACGACACCUAAAGUGUCCAUCUCACAUUUCAACCAAUUGCUGUCGCAGGAUCCUACACGGCACUACUCAUCGUCCUCCUCACCAUCAUCGCCACCGCCUGAGGCCUUCUUCUGGUUCUUCCGCUUCACCCUUCCAGCUGGACCGCCACCUAGAGGGCUGGUGAGGGAGAAGUCAAUGUGCUUCUCUGAUUCGACCCUGACCAUGAACGAGGGGAUGUUGACGAGCUGCCUUCCCACCCUGUGAAAGUACAAUGUUAGAUCAUAAAGGAGACAAAAGUCUCAAAAAUCCAAGUUGCUAAACUGAACUUUUCUGUCAAUCUACCAAACUAUGGCAAGGAUUUAGAUUUAAAAGUAUAAGCAUCUCCAUGAAUAAUUUGGUCUCUUUCACCCCAGCUUGUUAUCUAUGUGGCACACAGAACUAAUUCAGUGAUACAUGUUACAAAAUAUCACUCUGUGCUAAGACGGUACAUGCAAAGCACUCUAUGUUACUAGAACACAAGUAAAGCAAUGAAUUAGAAAGCAACAACAUGAGGCAGAGUUACGACACUGACAACAUGAACCAGGACUGAGUCUGACAGGUUUGAGAAUGGGCAGAACAAGGCAUUCCAUAUAUUGAUUAGAAACUAAAGGAUCUGAAGGAAAUAUGACAACAUAAUCACACAUUGAAAGGAAAAAAAGGAAAACAGAAACAUGUUAUUUGUACUUCCAAUAGGGCACUCAGAAUGAAAAGGACAUAAGAAUCAUUGACCUUCUGGCCUCGGAGAUACAUUAGCAAAAUUAACUCCUCAUUGUGCCCAACAAAACAUAGAAAUAUAUGCAGACAUUCAAAGGAACAUGGCAUGAUGUGCAGGUAUAAAGCAAUUUGCAACAAAAAAACCAGAUUUGCAAAAGUACAGGGAGCUAAUGGACUUGAACUGAAUUGUCAACAUAAUAAAAUUUCUUACCCUUAUUAAACUACAUUAACAAAUAAUAAUAAUAAAGAAUGAAGGAUAAAAGACUGUUAAAACAAUAUACUGAACCACACAUCCCAAAUGUGCAGUGCCACCAGGAUUACACAUUUUUACACUGGAGAAGACAGAGCACGUACCUCACUACAGUAAACAAAAACCACAGAGAAAGGCAAGGGUCAUACAAAACUAUUCAUUAUGGUAAAAGGUAUAGGAAUCAAAUGUAACCAAGGGCAUCAGAGAAACAUGACUGCAACAUUACACACAAAGUGUCUCAGACGACCGUCGUGAGAAUUGCACAUGGUUUUUCAUCAUAUGGCCCAUCCAAGAUCAAAUGUGCCUUUACAACUAACAUACAACCAGCAGCCAUAAAAUAUAAAGAAAACUGAGCACAAACUGGAACAGUAUAUUGCAAACCCAUAACUAUCAUAGGAAAUGCUGGAAUGCCACAAGUCUAAGGAACAGAAGACAUCUACAUCUACAUAUACAAAGAAAACGUAGGAACUGCUCAGACCUGCAAUUACCAACUCUCUAUAUGUGAGCAUUUUAUGAUACAACUGAAAUUGAUGCACAUUUGAGGGAUCAGGACAUAUAAACGUACCUGAUGUGGCGCUGCCUGAUCAGGACACGAGCAUGGUGGAUGGACUUGGCCAUGCCAUUCUUGAAGACAAUGGUCUGGAGGCGGCGCUGGAGGAAGUUCUCAACAGUAAGGGCAAGCACGUAAUCGAGCUUGUUCUGUCCCUCACCCAGGAGACCAUAUCGGUUCAUGCGGCGGAGGAGCGCCUCACCCUCAAAGAUACGGCGUGGGUUCUUCUCAUCCAGAGUGAGAAGCUCCCUGGCUGCAUUUCUGAUACGGCUCAGGGCAUACUGCACGCGCCACAGCUCACGCUUGCAGCGCAGGCCAUACUCACCAACCAGCUUCAGCUCAGCAUCUAGUCGCUCCUUCUCAUACGGACGCCUUGGCUUCUUGAAAGUCUUCCCAUCUGCAACAUGCAACAACAUCAUAAGCUACUGAUUGCACUACAAAAAUUAGCUUUGGGAAAUAACUGAGAGGGGUAUCUGUAACAACUAAACUGUCACAAUCAGUUACUUCCUAGUAUUGAUAACGCAGCUAGAGCCUAUACUAGAUGGUGCUAACCGUUUGACUGGUUGAGCAACAACAAAAAUUGCAAGAAUACUUUAAGGACAUUGUCUGAUACUAUUUGAUUUUAAGGAGUACUAAGCCAGUACAAAGCUUGGCGUUUAGAAUUAUGAUCCAGCACCAUUUCACCCUGAUAUACGGAUUUCAACCUACAUGCAUAUCCGCGCAAUCAGCUCACCUUAAGGGCAAUCCACCAAACUUUAGACUUGACGGAUCAAAGCAAAGCCGAAAGGUAUUGUUCGACCAUCCGAAUUGCUACUAUUAAGUGUAUCCCAAAGGAAAAUUCAUCACUAUAUAUACUGCAUUCCCAACACUACUGGUGGAACAAUCUAGAGAACCGCAAGGAACUAACAGCACGAGCUGGAUCGACCUAGAUAUCUACUGUACGUCUAUGGAAGUCACAAGGCAACAUGCAUAUAAUGCAGUAGAAGAGGGGAUCUUACAGUUGCGGUAGAAGCUAACAUGCACCAUGGCUGCCGCGGCAGGGUGGCGCGGUUGGUCGUCGAGUUGCCGCCGCCGGAGGAAGUGCGAGAGACGGGAGGCGGGGAUGGAAGACGAGAUCUUAUAAGGGAUGUAAACCCUAGCUUUGAUUAGAUGGGCCGGGCUUCAAUAAAUUCUGUCUGUUCACUUAUUUAAGUGUCAUCGGCCCGGUCUGUGUUGCUAUGGGCUUUUUUCGCUAGAUGGGCACCCCGAACGCGGCUCACAGCCCACGUUCUUUUUUGCUCUGGCGACACGCGCACGCGCGCCUGCCGCCUGCCGAACAGUCGUCGACGUCUCCUCGACGAACUCAUGCGACCGAGCCGCGGCGCCCGCCUGCCCAACCCAACCGAGAGCGAUGCCGCCGCGGAAGCCACUGACGGCGCUGCUGAAGUCGGCGACGCGGCCGGUGCACCUGCUCCAGCUCCACGCCCUGAUGCUGAAAUGCUCCCACUUCCCGCACCACGCGUUCCCCACAGCCAGGCUUCUCGCCUCCCCGCUCGCGCCGCUCCCCUACGCGCUCUCCCUCUUCGCCGCCGUCCCGCGGCCCACGCUCUUCCACCACACUGCCGUCCUCCGCGCGCUUUCCUCGUGCCCCUCCGUGGCCUCCCUUUCCGCGUCCCUCUCAGUCCUCGCCUCCGCGCGGGCGCGCCUCCCCGAGCUCGACGAGUUGCGUUCCAGCCGCUGCUCGCGCUCUGCGCGAAAAUGCCCAGUGACGCCGAGGCAGCUUCGGUUGGCAAGCAGGUGCACGCGCUCGUGCUGCGGUACGGGUUCCUGGACGUUGUGAGCCUGCGGAAUGUGCUGUGCCACUUUUACUGCAGCAGUGGGAACAUGGCGGACUCGCGGAGGAUGUUCGAGGAAAUGCCUGAGAAGGACGCUGUGUCGUGGAACACGGUGAUUGGGGGCUAUGUCAGGGUAGAGGAUGUGGGCACAGCUUUGCAGAUGUUCACCGCGAUGAGGUGGUCUGGAGUGGAUGUCAACGUGACGGCAGUGAUCACCUUGAUUGGGUGUGGCUGGCAAGGGGAGUCAGUGCAUGGCUUAUGUGUUAAGACAGGGCUCUGCGACGAUGUGAAGAUUGCAGCAGCAAUGAUGGGGAUGUAUGUGAGGGAGGGCAGCGUUGAGUGUGCAAAUAAGGUGUUUCAUGAGACCACUAGACGAGACUUGGUGCUGUGUAAUUGUAUGGUGGAUGGCUAUGCAAAGGCAGGGCAGAUUCGUGAGGCGAUGGACUUGAUUGAUGGAAUGAGACAGCACGGGAUGAGACCUAGUUCAGGGACGCUUGUGGGUGUUCUCUCUGCGUGUGGAACAUCUGGGGCAUUGGCAGCCGGUCAUUCUGUCCAUGAGCUUGCUGAAGAUGCACGGCUUGAGAUUGACAGCACGCUUGGGACAGCGCUCAUGGACAUGUACUUCAAGUGUGGGUGCCCCAGCGAGGCAGCUGCAGUCUUCGAUGCAAUACGAAAUAGGGACGUGAAGGCAUGGACAGCGAUGAUCAUGGGAUUCGGAGUUAAUGGGCAGCCAGGCUCAACCAUCACCUUGUUCUACAGGAUGGAGGAAGACGGUGUGUUUCCUAAUGACGUCACCUUCCUAGCCCUGCUAACUGCUUGUAACCAUGGCGGGUUGGUGCAGGAAGCGAAAGAAUUCCUUGAGACAAUGGCACGGCGAUACAGAUUGUCUCCAAGCCCCGAGCACUACAGCUGCGUCAUUGAUCUCCUGGGAAGAGCAGGGCGCCUAUACGAAGCCUAUGAGCUCAUACAAAGCGUGUCAUCCCAGGGUGAUGCUACUGCAUGGAGAGCGUUGCUUGCAGCCUGCAGAGUGUAUGGCAAUGUGAAGCUGGGGAGGAUGGUGCAGGAAUAGUUGGACGCCAUUGGCCACUACCAUCCUUCAGAUGCCAUUCUGCUGUCAAACGCGUACGCAUUGGAAGGCCGGUGGGAUGAGAUAGCUCAGCUGAGGGAUUCAGAAGCACAGAAAAUAUCUGUGGAGAAGGAAACAGGCUGCAGCUCCAUUAUUGUGUCUUGCUGAUGUAUUCAGACUUGCUGAAUUUAAGCAACUAACAACUGAACUCAAGGUGGGAUUCCCAGGCAGACUAGCUUUUGAUCGGGGUUAUCCAAACUUGUACAGAACUAAAUAUAAAUAGAAGAGUGAUUAAAAUGUUUUCUAGAAUCGGGUCAACUUUGAACUGCUUGGUUCAACUUGUAUAUGUAGCCAAUGGCGUCCAACUGUGCCUGCAACCUGCAGAUUGACAACUAGUAGUAAGAAAAGAGACCGAAGGUUGGAAAUAGAUAAAAGGUGAGAUAGAAUGUCCAUAAGGAUUGUGUACCCAAAGCCUGUUUAGGAUAAACAGACAACAAAGUUGUUCAGUAGCUGAUAUGUAUUAGGAAGAGUGGAACUUGGAGUUUAUGAAAAAACUUGGAGACGAUGAUGUAGAGGAAUGGGAGAAACUAAUGGCGUCUUUGGAAAUGUGGAGGUGACUAGUGAGGAGAAUAGCUGGGGUUAUAUAAGCUUGAAUCCACUGGCAAGUUCUCCAUAAAAUCUCUCUAUAUAGGUUGAUGACCUUGGAGUGGUGGUUGAUCAAAAAAUGAAAGACAUUUGGGACACUAGGUUACCUCUAAAAAUAAAUUUUUUGUGUGUGUAUGAUUUAGGCAUAAAAGUGGAACUGGUGAGCAUUUGAAGAGGAGAAAGUGGAAAGGCAGCUAUCUUCCUCUUUAUUCCCACAAAACAAAAUAUGAAUAUUUUUGGCAUGUAGGUCGAUUUAGUUCUACCAUUAGUUAAACUUAAAAAUGUUAUCGGGUUUAUAAAUAAUUGAAUUUGAAAAUGUAAUAAGGAGCAACGAGUUUCUUGCGUGCUACUACAAGAGAUGAGGAAGACGAAUAACGAGGACAAGGUGUGGUCAAAGUGACUCUCACUACUUUACCCUAUUGUUGGAUAGAUUGCAUUGUGUCGAAGUGAGGUCGUUGGUGUCAAUGAUGAGUGUGUACGAACACAGAAAAAUUAUCCUUAAAGGACAUAUGUCCCAUGUGCAUUACCAACACAAACACUUUGCUAAGGGCACAUGCCCCAUAUGCAUCAUUGGUAAGCACGAAGCACAUCUGGGUAUGUUUAGUUUCUCAUGACUAAAAUUUAACUAUUAAAAUCAAUUACUAAAACUUUAGUCGCCCCUAUUUCGUUCCAGUGACUAAAAGUUACUGAAGGCCAUGAAAUCAGUUCAACAAAGACCAAACUAUGGUGGGGGACUAGAAAUAAUGAGGGGCAACCCCUGUCCACUUGGCACUUUAGCCCACUUUAGUCAUUCCUGAUGUACUAAUAUGACUAAACUACUUUAGUCCCAUUUUAGUCAAUUUGUUUGGCAGUUUAGUAGCUGAAGUGAGGGGAAAACCAAAUAGGCCCCUUACGAUCCUAUUAGCUAGAGGAAGGUCCGAAGUCUAAACAAAUGCCUACUUUAGGGACUUGAACUUUAGCUCACGAGGUAGGCGAUGGUAGAACUGAAGUCCACGAUGGUGCCACCUACGACAUCUUUCACCUUAAAAGUAGAACGUGUUUACCAAACGUUUUUUUUAACUAAUGAAGUUGGAGCCAAAUGACGACCAAAGUGUUGUGAUCCGAGGUGAUGGUGGGGGUUUGUGCCCGGCCGCUAAAUCCGCCUCUGACUGGUACAGUAGCUGAGGCACUUGAACAACUCGUACUGAUGCUCGUCGGUUUAUUUCUAUGGCUUUUCCAUACUUGGUGAUGCUGGUGCCAUCCAUCCACAAGUGACCAUCUGCAUCCAUUGUUGGCCCGUAAAUCUGUGACCUUCUUGAUGGCACGAACGAACUGGUGACUGGACCCUCGUUGAGGUAGUUUUGGAACACAAUCGCUGGCCUAGAUUCCAUCUACAGUGGUGUUGUUGAUUGUGUGCUACCUUCGAUCCUUGUUGCCUCCACAGUUGGCUCUGUGCUACCUUCUGCGGAUACUGACACCGAAUCUCCCGUAGUCGACGCAGCUGAGGGGUACAAAUUAACCUAUAAUAAUUGUUAAAAAAAAUUAACAUAACAAAUUGAUAACACAGAAUACUGAAUUGUUUUUUUCAGAGUAGUACACACAUUGUGAGAGGGGGGCAAGCAAAUUAAACAAAAGAGCACGAUCGAGUACCUACCUUGAUACUGCUCGGAUGGAUGAAAAUAGUGGGGAGCGCUAGGUGGGGAGGCGGAACUGCGCUAUACACCCCGUGCGAUGCCUCCUCCUGCCUCGAGAAAGCGAUCGGGACGGUCGCUUCGUCCCUGAAGACGAUCACCGCCAUGCCCAGGUGUCGGCACAAGGCGAUCGCCUCGAUGGCGCCGAACCGCGCCAGAUCGGCGCGCAGGUCGUCGUCGCCAUUGUCGGGGAAGAACAAGUCGAGACGCUGGGCGAGGAUGCUGCGGCUAUGGAAACUGGCCGGGUCCCCGGAGAGUUGGCUCCCUGCGGCUGCGGCUGCGGGGGCCAGGAGGUCGCGCGCCAGGGUCGCCCUCUCCACGACGUGACCGUACAUGCGCCGUAGGUUUUCUAGGGUCACCAUGUUUGUUUCUUGGAUGGAUCUCUGCUGGGUGCCCUUACUCUGGUUGCCUUGUGUGUUCCUGGAUCUUUGUUACGCGCGUGCAUGCGUGUAUAUAUACAAAAGUACUACUAGUAUAUGCGGAGGGCAUGGCAUCGGAUCGGACACGGAAACAGACUCCGAACCAGAUAGACUUCGCAUGCUAACGGACUACAUACGGUGGGUGUAACAAGAUAUAGUUUAUAUUUCAAUAGCAAAACAUUUAAAACAUCAAUAAAAGUGUGGAUAAGUAUUUCAACAUGUACAAAUAUUUAAAUCAAUUAAUAAAUUUGAAUAUAUAAAAAUAAUGCAUAAUGAAUAUGUAAAUAUAGUAAAGUACUUAAAAUUAGUAUGACUAUACAUAUUAAAGUUAACUAAACUUGUCCUUUAUAUAUCAUAAACUAUGAUGUUAUUUUUAAUAGUUUUGCAUUAUCAUAAAUAUAAGUUUUAAAUUAUAAAAAAAUAAACUUAACAUUUAUGAUUAGUCAUAUUAGCAAUAUAGCUAACUUUUAAAAGGUUUAAAUGAGUUAUAUUAAAAAAAGUAUCAUUUAGAUUGUGAAUUAGUCAUAAAUAUAAUUUCACACGGUACAUUGUUCUUCAUGGUAUAGAUAACAUUGGAUAUUUUACAUUUUUCAAAUAUGGAUGUGGAACUAGAUAGAGAAGAAUCAUGAAAAACAUAUAUUUGAAUAUAUCCAUCUAGUAUCCAUAUUGAAAUCGGAUACAAAUACAGAUAACCAUAUCAACAUUCAGACUGAUAUGUAUAUAAGAUCUUUUGGACAUUUAGACAUCCAAAUCCAUCCCUAAAGUUGUCUUAGAAAAUCCAAGAUACUACAUAAAGAUUCUAAAAUCCAUGAUUUAGUCAUUCUUCUAAAAUAAAACAUCCUAAAAAACCAUAGUACUACAACAAUCUUUAUAAAUUUUCUAGUUUCAAAAUUUAAAACAAGCCCGACGCACCCAUGGCGCUUGGCGCAUAGUCUAGCGCCUACGGUAAAGUUUAUUUUGCCCUUAGACCAGUCUCAAUGCAUGUUUUAUAAGAGUGUCAUGCACAUUAAAUAGGAUGCCACAUAAGCAAAAUUACUGACUUGGCACGGUCAUUAAAUGAAGAAGUUUCAUCAGAUGAGAGAAGAGUUUCAUCCGCAUAAAACUCAUAUGGCUCGAUUACCUAGUUUGUAGUUUUGGUAACUGUGCCAUGAAACUAUGCAGUGAGACUGGCCUUACGGACAUGUGCCCUCACUCUCCCACCCAUUGAAUUCGCUUUGAGAAGUGUGCAAACGCACAUCUCAAUGCGAAACUGUUUUAAGAUGUGUGUUUGCACACUUCUCAAAGCAAAUUUAAUAGAUGAGAGAGUGAGGACAUGUACCAUUAGGCUCAAUGCAUAGUUUCAUGGCACAGUUACCAAGACUAUAAACUAGGUAACCGUGCCACAGAAGUUUCAUGGGGAUGAAACUCCUCUCUCAUCUGAUGAAACUCCUUCAUUUAAUGACUCUGUCAAGUCAGUAAUUUUGCUUAUGUGGCACCCUAUUUAAUGUGCAUGAUACUCCCAUGAAACAUGCAUUGAGAAAAAAAAACCGCCUUCAUACAUCUACAAGCUCUUCAAUGCGACCAACGUCCCGGACCCGUGUAUGAAGUGAACUAGGACUAUAAAUUCUAGCAAACGCACAUCGAACAGAAGAAUUUUCUCUAUAUUCUAGCAAAGGCAUACAAGGGAAACUACAAUAUCUUGUCAGGGACAGAAAAGGCAGCUCAAAUGUAAUAUACGGUACGGCAGUACGCACGAGAUCAUUUAUCAUACACGUGUAUGAAAACUACAAAAGGAAAAGAUGGCUGAGCUUCAGUUCACUGCAGCAACUGGGCCAUGACAUCUUGAGCGAUGACCCCAGCGUGGUGAGCAUCAGGCACUCGACUACACUCCACGAACCCAAGACCUGCCCAGGUAUUCUGAGGCUCCCUUAAUAGCCUGGCUGCACUGUGCCAACAUCUGAAGACAGCCAACGCCAAUCCACUCUUGUCUAGUGCCACAUUGUAUAGGUCACCAAACACAGAAAGUCUAACUGAGAGAUCAAAACAUGAAGUGCCCUCAACAACACCUGAUAGAAGCAAGGAUCUCUCCGGAAAGUCACCUCUGAGAACAGAAUCAGGGGAUACCAGAGUGCAAGACCUGAUAAGACAGUGGAGGAUCCCAAUAGUGUCACCAUCGCUAAGUCUCGCCUCUUGAUCAGACAUCCAGUCUCUCACGCGUUGAAACGCUGCAGUUUCCAUCCAGUACCUCGCCUCCAUCCUGUCGGACUGCUGCUCAGGAGAGAUAUCAGAAGAUGCUGACUCAAAUCCAAAGGCACUUGCGAAGCUAGGUUUCUGUCCAAAGAAACGUAUCCAUGUCUCCUCAGGUGUUUGUAGCAAACACAUUGUGUCCUCUGAGCUUCCAAGCACCACAACAAUGAGUCCCUCUGACCGGUGGAUUAUCACGGCCUCAACUGUGUGAACAAGAUCGGUUUCAAACCGCAGGAAGUGUGCAAGGUCUGCUGCAUCGAGCUUCUGCGUAUCCAGCCCAGUGAACAGGAGGACGCGGCGCCUGUAACUCUCGUCGUCGUCUAUGACACAUUGUGGCAGCAGCCGCCGGAGCAAGGUGGCAUCUCGGUCAGCAGGAUCAGCAAGUAAUGGAAAGAGUGACGAAUCAAACAGCUGAAGUCCCCUCUUUUUCAGCAAAUGAGGUGCCCUCCGGGCCACCAGCGCCGUGCUCUCGGUGUCAUCGUACACCAGGACGCCGGCUUGUCGAUCCCUGUGGACGAUUGCGGCAACCACAUACCCCCGAGCAAAAAGCACCUUCCAUGCCAAGUCACAUAAUCCAUAGGCUCCUUCGCUGAUCGGGGAUCUGCCAGCUCCAAUAAGAACGCAUCUCAGGUGGAACUCCCCAUCUUCAUCAGCAAGAAUGUACUGGGACGGUAGAAGCGACCGGAGCAUUCUGGCUGUGCAUCUCCUCACGAACUCGUCGGCAACACCGUCGAGGAUGUAUGAGCGUGAGACCUCCUCGUCGUGCCAGGUAGCCUAUUCAGUGAGAGUCAGAGACAAUAUUUCAGUUUGAAUGGAUUGUGCAUUAGACAGUAUUUCAGUUUUCGAAUGGAUUAAGCAUCAGCAUUACUGUGACGUUCAGAAUUGAUAGACAGACACACAAAAGGGUCACGGGAAGAUGACAGUGAGGACUCACCGGAGUGCAGGUGGCAUAGAGACCUUCGCGUGGUGUCUGAAUCGUAGCUGCAGCACUGUCAAUAGCAUCAAAGAAGACUAGAAGCCCAAUCCUGAAGCCAGUCUGGCUGUCCCGUACUAAAACUGCCGUCUGCACACCCAGUAUGCUCUGAAUCAAGUCGCACGGACUGACACUGGCUGGAACGCCGUCAAGCAGUAGACAUCUCUCAAGAAAGUGGGGGUCCUCCAGUACAUGUGGUGCCACGGUAUUCAGGACCGCGAUCAAAUUCCUCAUGUAGCUGAAAGCCCGACCCUUCCUCUGCAAUGCAAUCGCGUGAACAAACGUCAGUAGAGCAAAACUGAAUGAACGAAACUGCAGUGACGGUCGUUCGGUCGGCUAAAAGAAAGUAAUUCACGGAGCAAGAACAACACUGCAACAGCAGUUUGCAGGGCAAGAAGCCAAGAACACGGGGAGAAAAGAUAGCAAACAACAAUUCGCCGCGAAUUCAUGUUCCAUUCUUUCUCGCCUUGCAGGGGCAACAACAACACCGGGAGCAACACUAAUCCGCGCGCAAGGACACGAGGAGCAAAACAGAACAAAAGCAAUUCGCCGCAAAUUCCUGUCCCUAUCACCGAAAGCCAACAGCGAGUUCACCGCGAAUUCACCUCCCUUUCUUUUUCUCUCCGAACAGGGGCAAAAACCGAGGAGCAAGACAGAAUGGAACGAACAGCAAUCCGUGACAAAUUCCUCCCUUCCUCUGACGAAAGAACAACCGUAAGGCAACAGCGAUUCGCGUGGCAAGAACACGACGUGCAAAGCAGAAUGGAACGAAGACCAGUUUACUGCGAAUUCAUCACCUCCCUUCUUUCUCACCGAGCUCCGAGCAUGUGUAAUGUAAGGACAACACCGGAAGGCGACAGCAAUUCGCGAGUCAAGAACACGACGGGCAAAACACAAUGAACAAACAGCAAUCCGCGCGAAUCCUUUGCCCUUUCUUUCUCGGCGAGGAGGGCAAGAACAACCGGAUGGCAACAGCGAUUCGCGAGGCAAGAACACGACGCGCAAAAAAGAAUGGAACGAACAUCAGUUCACCGCGAAUUGACCUCCCUUCUUUCUCACCGAGCAGGUGCACAAACAACUCCGGAAGCCAACAGCAAUUGCGGGUCAAGAACAUGACGGCCUGAUACAGAAUGAAGAAACAGCAAUUCGUGCGAACUCCCCUCUCUUUCUUGCUCCGCGAGCAGGGCAAGAACAACCGGACGCCACCCGCAAUUUGCGAGGCAAGAACACGACGGGCACAAAUUCGACGCGGAAUCGCGAAUUCCUCUCCCACCGGGCAAGAACACGACGGCCAAAAGAGCAAUGAACACGAUUACACGACCGGCAAGGAAACAACAGGAGAAAAGAAGAGCAAGAACGGCAAACAAGAAGACCGGAGGUAGGGGAAAGCACCUGUCUGGAAUGCCACAGGCCAGAGAGUAUGACGGGACGCGCACGCGCCGAAAUGGCACCGGCCGGAGGUGGGCGAGCCAUCUUCACCGGAGAAGAGAGCUUCGGGUCGCUGGAGAGGAAGAAGGCUUCGGAGGGUUUCUUCGGGUUUUCCCGUGAGGUUUGAGAGGUCGCGAGGGAGGGAAAAACAGGGGUUGGCGUUCUGUCAGGGCUCCGGCUUUUGUUUGCCAAACCGUCUUUCCCUGGAGAGAGGCCGAGGCGGCCUGAACUGAGACGAUGCAAGGGCCAGCCCGAGGUAUUCAUGUUUUGAUGUUCAUGGGCCCAAUUUGGUAUGGUUCCUGCCCUGAUGUGAUCAGAAUGUGUUUUUUUUAAUUAAGCGAUGGAAUGGUUUUCUUUGGUCAAUGACCUGAAGACCGCAAGAGGCAUCCUGAUGUUGAAUGGCUUGUGUACCAUGACUACCAUCAAGGCUUCAGUGACUUGAAGACCGAAACAGAGGCACUCAGUAUCUACAUACUGCAUACUAUCAACAAUUGCUGCAUAAUGCAAGCAAUUGCUGUAGUUUCGUAUGCAUUACUGUCCAGGUUUCUGGAACUGUAUAGGCCCGUCAACCAGCCGCUCUAUGAACUGGUUCCGCUUUUAUCUUUCCUUUGCACAAAAUUCAGUAAAAUGCAAUUGGGGGUGCUGCCAUGUCCUUGUACAAUUGGGGGUUCAGCUCAGCAAUUCAGAUUCCAAACCCAACAUACGGCUGGUUGUUUCGAUUCCGACGAGUUGAUACAGGUGCUUUGUAAUUCUUGUGCGCGCGUCAGAACGAGCAACAGCCCUAAGCGCAUGCAGCCGCAAGGCAAGGGGCAUCCAUCCUCGGAGAAGGCCAGAGCGACAUGCCGACUGCCCUGAUGGCUGACGAUGGUCAGGCCACUGAUACAGUCCACUGAGUCCAGCAGCAAGGCAGUUUUGGCAGUGGCACCCGACUCGACGGCAGGCGGCACGGUGGCGGUUGAGGUGGAGCACGUGCACAGGACACUUGGCCGUCCAUCGAGCUGAGCUCAUGUCGUAAAGCUCGGGAUCUAGCAGGAUCUCACCGGUGAAGGGGUUGAACAGCAGGGGCCCCGCGGCGCGUGUGGGCGUCGCCCACGACGAGGGCGAGCCACCCAUCUCGCGAGGCGCCGACGCACUGGUGACCUGUGGCGCUGAUCCUAGUGGAACGGAGUGCAGACCGCCGUGAGGGAGCCUGGCUAGCGCCACCGCCCGCCGCGCGUGGAGGGAGCAGAGCAGGCUCGUCGCGCGGGAGGACAGCGCGGAGCCGCGAGAACGGCGACGGGAGCGCGGAGCGCCACGCGCCUCUGACGGAACGCGCGGGCGUGGCGGAGCGAGUUGAGAUAUUCCAUUCAGCCUCUGCCGACGCGGCGGCGCCUGCAUCGCCGUCGAGCGUCGAGGACAGAGAAGAGAUUUGGGACCGGUUUGCCGUCGUUUACUUGGUAGUUGGUUCUAAACCGUUUUGAGGCCAUCAGGCCAACCCGUUUCAAAGACCUGAGCGGAUUGGGUUCAUUAGCUGGUUUCAGCCCAACCCGUGAACAGGCCUAGAGGAGCAGUACACAGAGAACAUUUUUUGAGGCUCUACAUGGCCAUCCAAUCAGCAUAUAGUCGUAUAAUGUAGCGUUUGGUUUCGUAAUUUUGAGAUGUUACCCAUUCACAGAGUAAUCUGAGUUUUGUUUGGCUCAGUUGGGCACUUGCGUAAUCAGGCCCCGUGUAAUCAGGUCUGAGGUUAGUGCAAAUCCAGCGCUAACGGUUACCACAGCUCCACGGACCAAGGGCCAUAGGCGAACCUGAACGAAAUACACAACAUGCAAACUGAUUAUCUACGAUCUGGCGUAAAUGCAAAACUGGUUAUCCUUACUCAAUCCAUCCUAAAUUAUAAGAAGUUUAACUUUUGACACCAAGUUUAAUCACCUGUAUUAUUCAAAAAUGUAUGCAAAAUAUCAUUUCUUUUGUCAUGUCUUGGGAUAAAAAAGUCAAACAUCUUAUAAUUUGAGACGGAUGGAGUACCAUUUAUGUCUACAGUAUCAUUUAUGAACCGAACAGCACCUGAGAACGAAAAGUUGGAAUACCAAUUUGAUUCAGACAUUCAGUUUUAAACAUAGGAUGCCAAACGAGCAAAUAGCCACCGAAACUAGAAUACACAAUUCAUGGUGUCCAGAUACGAUGCCAAUGCUUGAAAUUAAGAGUGUCAGUAGUGCGGUGCAAAAUUGUCUACCAUAGUAGGAUUUCUGAAUUCAAGACCACAAAAAUUUAGCCACGACACCUAAAGUGUCCAUCUCACAUUUCAACCAAUUGCUGUCGCAGGAUCCUACAUGGCAUUACUCAUCGUCGUCCUCACCAUCAUCGCCACCGCCUGAGGCCUUCUUCUGGUUCUUCCGCUUCACCCUUCCAGCUGGACCGCCACCCAGAG
This 38115-nucleotide long non-coding RNA is filed under the name Sorghum bicolor (sorghum). Its description in RNAcentral is "long non-coding RNA (SBIC_LNC003900)". Lineage: Eukaryota; Viridiplantae; Streptophyta; Magnoliopsida; Poales; Poaceae. The record is from RNAcentral.